Molecule: ribosomal RNA, 217 nt
Filed under: uncultured bacterium
Lineage: Bacteria
Description: partial 16S ribosomal RNA
Rfam family: Bacterial small subunit ribosomal RNA
Source: RNAcentral
CGUCUCAGUUCGGAUUGUAGUCUGCAACUCGACUACAUGAAGCUGGAAUCGCUAGUAAUCGCGGAUCAGAAUGCCGCGGUGAAUACGUUCCCGGGUCUUGUACACACCGCCCGUCACACCAUGGGAGUCGGAAAUGCCCGAAGUCUGUGACCGAACCGAAAGGAAGGAGCAGCCGAAGGCAGGUCGGAUGACUGGGGUGAAGUCGUAACAAGGUACC